GUGAGGAAUAUUGCGCAAUGGACGAAAGUCUGACGCAGCCAUGCCGCGUGAAGGAUUGACGGCCCUAUGGGUUGUAAACUUCUUUUGUAUAGGAAUAAACCCUCGUUCGUGAACGAGGCUGAAGGUACUAUAAGAAUAAGCACCGGCUAACUCCGUGCCAGCAGCCGCGGUAAUACGGAGGGUGCAAGCGUUAUCCGGAUUUAUUGGGUUUAAAGGGUCCGUAGGCGGAUCGUUAAGUCAGUGGUGAAAUCCUACCGCUCAACGGUAGAACUGCCAUUGAUACUGGCGAUCUUGAGUAUGUAUGAAGUUGGCGGAAUGUGUGGUGUAGCGGUGAAAUGCUUAGAUAUCACACAGAACACCGAUUGCGAAGGCAGCUGACUAAUACACAACUGACGCUGAGGGACGAAAGUGUGGGGAUCAAACAGGAUUAGAAACCCUUUAGUCC
Molecule: ribosomal RNA, 445 nt
Filed under: uncultured bacterium
Lineage: Bacteria
Description: partial 16S ribosomal RNA
Rfam family: Bacterial small subunit ribosomal RNA
Source: RNAcentral